ACGAUUAAGACUUCCUUCGGGAAGUGAUAAAGUGGCGCACGGGUGAGUAACACGUAAGUAAUCUACCUUCGAGUGGGGAAUAACGUCCGGAAACGGACGCUAAUACCGCAUAAUGCAGCGGCAUCGUAAGAUGACAGUUGUUAAAGGAGCAAUUCGCUUGAAGAGGAGCUUGCGGCAGAUUAGCUAGUUGGUAAGGUAAUGGCUUACCAAGGCUACGAUCUGUAACCGGUCUAAGAGGACGGUCGGUCACACUGACACUGAAUAACGGGUCAGACUCCUACGGGAGGCAGCAGUCGGGAAUUUUGGGCAAUGGGCGAAAGCCUGACCCAGCAACGCCGCGUGAAGGAUGAAGUAUUUCGGUAUGUAAACUUCGAAAGAAUAGGAAGAAUUAAUGACGGUACUAUUUAUAAGGUCCGGCUAACUACGUGCCAGCAGCCGCGGUAAUACGUAGGGACCAAGCGUUGUUCGGAUUUACUGGGCGUAAAGGGCGCGUAGGCGGCAUGACAAGUCACUUGUGAAAUCUCCGGGCUUAACUCGGAACGGUCAAGUGAUACUGUCGCGCUAGAGUGCGGAAGGGGCAAUCAGAAUUCUUGGUGUAGCGGUGAAAUGCGUAGAUAUCAAGAGGAAUACCUGAGGUGAAGACGGGUUGCUAGGCCGACACUGACGCUGAAGCGCGAAAGCCAGGG
Molecule: ribosomal RNA, 686 nt
Filed under: uncultured bacterium
Lineage: Bacteria
Description: bacterial SSU rRNA
Rfam family: Bacterial small subunit ribosomal RNA
Source: RNAcentral